AACCAGCACCUCAAGUGGUCAGGAUGAUUAUUGGGCCUAAAGCAUCCGUAGCCGGCUCUGUAAGUUUUCGGUUAAAUCUGUACGCUCAACGUACAGGCUGCCGGGAAUACUGCAGAGCUAGGGAGUGGGAGAGGUAGACGGUACUCGGUAGGAAGGGGUAAAAUCCUUUGAUCUAUUGAUGACCACCUGUGGCGAAGGCGGUCUACCAGAACACGUUCGACGGUGAGGGAUGAAAGCUGGGGGAGCAAACCGG
RNAcentral lists this ribosomal RNA (253 nucleotides) under uncultured archaeon. RNAcentral describes it as "partial 16S ribosomal RNA". It matches the Rfam family "Archaeal small subunit ribosomal RNA", at positions 474 to 727 of the family's 1478-position model. The record is from RNAcentral.